GAUGAAGAACGUAGCGAAAUGCGAUAAGUAAUGUGAAUUGCAGAAUUCAGUGAAUCAUCGAAUCUUUGAACGCACCUUGCACCCUUUGGCAUUCCGAAGGGUAUGCUCGUUUGAGUGUCAUUGUACUCUCACACUCUCCGAUCCUAUGGAUUCGGGGGGCGGUGGACUUGGGUGUUGCUGCCUUUCCUUGUGGCUCACCUCAAAUGUGUCAGUGCACCUCUUGGUUGGACAUAGUACGGCGUGAUAAGUGUCUUCGCCGGCACCUCGCAAGAGGGUGGCCGAUCGGGAGCUCUGUGCUUUCAAACCGUCUUCGGACAAUUUCUGACAACUUGACCUCAAAUCGAGUAGGACUACCCGCUGAACUUAAGCAUAUCAAUAAGCGGAGGA
RNAcentral lists this unclassified non-coding RNA (387 nucleotides) under soil metagenome. Its description in RNAcentral is "partial contains 5.8S ribosomal RNA, internal transcribed spacer 2, and large subunit ribosomal RNA". The stretch from base 1 to 120 matches the Rfam family "5.8S ribosomal RNA", at positions 35 to 154 of the family's 154-position model. The record is from RNAcentral.